Molecule: ribosomal RNA, 432 nt
Filed under: uncultured bacterium
Lineage: Bacteria
Description: partial 16S ribosomal RNA
Rfam family: Bacterial small subunit ribosomal RNA
Source: RNAcentral
AACGAACGCUGGCGGCAUGCCUAACACAUGCAAGUCGAACGAGACCUUCGGGUCUAGUGGCGCACGGGUGCGUAACGCGUGGGAACCUGCCCUUAGGUUCGGAAUAACUCCCCGAAAGGGGUGCUAAUACCGGAUAAUGUCUUCGGACCAAAGAUUUAUCGCCUUUGGAUGGGCCCGCGUUGGAUUAGCUAGUUGGUAGGGUAAAAGCCUACCAAGGCGACGAUCCAUAGCUGGUCUGAGAGGAUGAUCAGCCACACUGGGACUGAGACACGGCCCAGACUCCUACGGGAGGCAGCAGUGGGGAAUAUUGGACAAUGGGCGAAAGCCUGAUCCAGCAAGGCCGCGUGAGUGAUGAAGGCCUUAGGGUGGUAAAGCUCUUUUACCCGGGAUGAUAAUGACAGGACCGGGAGAAUAAGCUCCGGCUAACUCCGU